Molecule: small nucleolar RNA, 131 nt
Organism: Rattus norvegicus (Norway rat)
Lineage: Eukaryota; Metazoa; Chordata; Mammalia; Rodentia; Muridae
Product: small nucleolar RNA SNORA17
Source: Ensembl
UCUUCCUCUGUGUAACCCAUUAAAAUGCAAACACAGUGCCUGUGCAUCAGUAGGUGGCAGGGGGGAGAGAGGCUACGUUGACACUCAGUGUUCUGACCCGUGAACAUCAGAAUGAGAAGGAGCCUAACAUU